UACGUAGGGGGCUAGCGUUGUCCGGAAUCAUUGGGCGUAAAGCGCGUGUAGGCGGCCGGGUAGGUCCGGUGUGAAAACUCGAGGCUCAACCUCGAGAUGUCAUCGGAAACCAUCCGGCUAGAGUCCGGAAGAGGAGAGUGGAAUUCCUGGUGUAGCGGUGAAAUGCGCAGAUAUCAGGAAGAACACCAAUGGCGAAGGCAGCUCUCUGGGACGGUACUGACGCUGAGACGCGAAAGCGUGGGGAGCGAACAGG
Molecule: unclassified non-coding RNA, 253 nt
Filed under: Spartobacteria bacterium
Lineage: Bacteria; Pseudomonadati; Verrucomicrobiota; Spartobacteria
Also listed under: 1 other name
Description: partial 16S ribosomal RNA
Rfam family: Bacterial small subunit ribosomal RNA
Source: RNAcentral